UACAGAGGUCUCAAGCGUUGUUCGGAUUCAUUGGGCGUAAAGGGUGCGUAGGUGGUGCCGUAAGUCAGGUGUGAAAUCUCGGGGCUCAACCCCGAAACUGCACUUGAUACUGCGGUGCUCGAGGACUGGAGAGGAGAUCGGAAUUCAUGGUGUAGCAGUGAAAUGCGUAGAUAUCAUGAGGAAGACCAGUGGCGAAGGCGGCGACCUGGACAAUUACUGACACUCAACUACGAAAGCGUGGGGAGCAAACAGG
RNAcentral lists this ribosomal RNA (253 nucleotides) under uncultured prokaryote. RNAcentral describes it as "partial 16S ribosomal RNA". It matches the Rfam family "Bacterial small subunit ribosomal RNA", at positions 524 to 776 of the family's 1533-position model. The record is from RNAcentral.